CAGAUGAAAUGCGCUAAAAAAGAGUUUUAACUCAAACUGUUUUAACUCAAAGUCGAAAAUUAUGAAAUACCCAUGAGAAAUAUCAAACACAAAUGCAAUACAGAAAUAGAUAAGUUAAGACGUGACCAUUGUACAAAAAUGCUGACUGGGUCAUGAGGUCAGAAAAGAAGAAGAAAAAAAAAACAGGUCAAGAAGAACUGACAAAAAUAAUUGCAAAAUAAUUAGGAAUUAAUGUGAAGAUUAAUUUUUAGUCAAUUCUGCAAGACAGACUUUCAGGAAAGGAGGUGGAAUAAAAAUGAGCUCCUAAAUCUUAAUCCCGGAUUCUGGAAGAUAUAUUCCUCAAACCAUCGGACAAGAGGAGGUGGUGCUGGUCCUUCACGAGUCACUCUAAUCUGUUCAUAAAGCCUAUAUAUAAAGUCUUAAUAUAUAGUAUUUCACAAUACUUCAUGGUAUUCUAAUUAAAUCAUUUUUUGGAAUCUUAGAUCUCUCAGAACCUGACACAUUGUAAUUCUGAGACUCCAGGAAAGUGGCAGUUCUGUAAAAUGUUGGCACUGGAGACUAAAUGCUCCCUGAUAGUUUCACACCUAAUUCACUUAACACACACACACACACACACAUUACCCACGGUGACAGAGGGACAGAGUGACAUCAGAUGUAUGAUAGUUUUUUAAUUUUCUAUCAUCCAUAUAGUGUUGUAUAGUCAUGAAACUAUGCAUAUUUCCUCAG
This is a long non-coding RNA of Carassius gibelio (silver crucian carp), 726 nucleotides long. RefSeq lists it as uncharacterized. The transcript is spliced from 3 exons. The record is from RefSeq and is a predicted model, not a curated record. NCBI's taxonomy places the organism in Eukaryota, Metazoa, Chordata, Actinopteri, Cypriniformes, Cyprinidae.